CUCUGGUUUACCGGUCCGCCAUUACUUGGUAAAAAUAUCUUCCUUACUGGAGUUUAAUUGCUGUUGUCAACUCCAAUAUAAAUGAUUGUCCUUCCAUUUAGCUUCCAGGUCAGAUUGGGAACAAGCUUUUACGUUGUUUUGUGAAGACACGGAUCACAUUAAAGGAACUUUAUAAAACAU
Long non-coding RNA from Girardinichthys multiradiatus, 180 nucleotides. RefSeq lists it as uncharacterized. The transcript has 2 exons. Lineage: Eukaryota; Metazoa; Chordata; Actinopteri; Cyprinodontiformes; Goodeidae. The record is from RefSeq and is a predicted model, not a curated record.